CCCUUGACAUACCAACCCGCGAUUUCCAGAGAUGGAUUUCUUCAGUUCGGCUGGACAUCAUACAGGUGCUGCAUGGCUGUCGUCAGCUCGUGUCGUGAGAUGUUGGGUUAAGUCCCGCAACGAGCGCAACCCUCAUCCUUAGUUGCCAUCAGUUCGGCUGGGCACUCUAAGGAAACUGCCGGUGACAAGCCGGAGGAAGGUGGGGAUGACGUCAAGUCCUCAUGGCCCUUACGGGCUGGGCUACACACGUGCUACAAUGGCAAUGACAGUGGGACGCGAAGGGGCGACCCUGAGCUAAUCUCCAAAAAUUGUCUCAGUUCGGAUUGUUCUCUGCAACUCGAGAGCAUGAAGGCGGAAUCGCUAGUAAUCGUGGAUCAGCAUGCCACGGUGAAUACGUUCCCGGGCCUUGUACACACCGCCCGUCACACCAUGGGAGUUGGCUUUACCCGAAGACUGUGUGCUAACUUUUGAGGCAGCAGGCCACGGUAAGGUCAGCGACUGGGGUGAAGUCGUAACAAGGUAACC
RNAcentral lists this ribosomal RNA (525 nucleotides) under uncultured Alphaproteobacteria bacterium. RNAcentral describes it as "bacterial SSU rRNA". It matches the Rfam family "Bacterial small subunit ribosomal RNA", at positions 978 to 1501 of the family's 1533-position model. The record is from RNAcentral. Lineage: Bacteria; Pseudomonadati; Pseudomonadota; Alphaproteobacteria.